Molecule: ribosomal RNA, 302 nt
Filed under: uncultured Cortinarius
Lineage: Eukaryota; Fungi; Basidiomycota; Agaricomycetes; Agaricales; Cortinariaceae
Description: eukaryotic LSU rRNA
Rfam family: 5.8S ribosomal RNA (bases 1-52)
Source: RNAcentral
AACGCAUCUUGCGCUCCUUGGUAUUCCGAGGAGCAUGCCUGUUUGAGUGUCAUUAAUAUAUCAACCUCUUCAGCUUUUUGCUUGUCGAGUGUUGGAUGUGGGGGGAUAUUUUUUGCUGGACUCUAAUCUGAGGUCGGCUCCCCUAAAAUACAUUAGCGAAACAAUUUGUUUACUGCUCAUUGGUGUGAUAACUAUCUACGCUAUUGACGGUGAAGCACGUUUAGCUUCUAACAGUCCAUUAACCUUGGACAAUCUCUUCUUAAUGUGACCUCAAAUCAGGUAGGACUACCCGCUGAACUUAA